CUCAGUCCAUCCCCAUAGCUCCUGGGUCCUACACAACCAAAUGUCCAAGAUCAAACUCCAAACUGAUUGUCACCAACCCCACCAUCCUCCACCUUUCUUCUGGUUGCAUGCCUCUUUAUAUCACUUCUUUCCUGUGUGCCUGGUUUUAAAUCAAGACACUUUUCCUUUUUUCCACUGGUAUUGUUUUGUGUCCUUUAGUUAUACCACAUGGUUGUAAAGACUCAUACUUAGUCUUAAUAUCUAGAAGUGUACAUCUUUUAGUUUGCUUUUCCUGGUGUUUCUCUUGCACUUUGGGCCAUCACGGCCUCCUUAGCUCUCUACCUACUUUGUCUCCCCCCCCCAAUACUCUUGUCAUUUGUCUCUUCCAAGAAACAUUGUGUCUCUCUAGAUACACCUCUUUGUCAUAUUCUGGGCCUGUUUUGGACAAGUACUUAAUCCAAGACCUGAUACCCCAGCUUUAUUCACAACUUCUCACCACACGUAUGUAUGAAUGCCUCUGAGGCAUUGAAUCUUUUACAAAUUUUUCAAUCCGGUGAGCUUCAACAUUUUUCAUGUUCACUCUUCAUCCUCAGGACCACCUUAAUUCCUGUGAAACCAUGUACCCCAGGUAUCUUGUACCUUCUGGGCCCUAUGUCUUUAUGUUCCUUGGCUUUUUACCCAUGUGUGCCUACACCUAGUCAUGCCAAUGAGCUUUUCCUGGAUACUUAAUGAACUUUGUCUGUGUCCUCUACAUUAUAGGAUUUGCACAAUCAAAUUUCCCAAUCCCCCUAUUCCCCAUGUUCUUAUUUAGUACCACUUCAAUCUAAUACCAGUUUACUGUUACUACACAAAACAUACCUGCAUUUAUACCACAGGUUUUCACCUGUAUGAUAAAUCUCACAGCAUUUGUUAAGGUGACAUAUUGUAAAUAGUGUCCUUGCAGGAUUGGAGGGAUUUAUAAUAAUUGAAAGGGUUUUUGUACUGUGUUCACCCAUCAUACUUGCUGCAGAAUUAAUGUUAGCAGCCCUGGCACAUCUUAGAGUUACAGAUAUGUUGGCUUAAGCAGGUCAAACCAUCUUAUCCUGUUGCUGUCAUUGGUGAGUGAGAAUUUUUCUGCAUUUUUUAUGGAUAUUGUUUUGUUUCUCCCUCCUGUCAGUAAGAGGUAAAUAUUGGUAGAGCAUAUUUAUUCACAAAAUUAUGAUAUGAAUUGACAUCCAAUUAUGCAAAUGAGUCCAAUUAAUUAACCCAUAUUUGUGCAGAUGAAUUCAGUGACUUUCAAAGUGAACAACUAGCAUCACCUAAAUUUCUCUAAACAACAAAUUCUAUGAAAUAUAUGGAUUCAGAUGACUGAAAAAAUCCUAGUAUUUCAACUUUCAAAUGCCACACAUGUGUCAGUUUGCAUGAAUGUCUCCUGUUAUAAAUAUCAUUCACUAACCUUGCUUCCUUGAAACAAAUUUACUUAGGUAUUAAUUAACUCACAUUUUUAUCUUCUUAAAUCAGUGAAUAUUUGCUUCUGCCAUACAGUCUUUCAUGUUUUAUGUUCCAAAGCUGAGGAUAUAACCUGGGAAUGUGGCACAAUUACUGUGAUAGCACUUGUUUUCCUAACACACAAUAAAUGAGUCAGGGUGUAGCUCUACAGAUGUG
Molecule: long non-coding RNA, 1623 nt
Filed under: Marmota monax (woodchuck)
Lineage: Eukaryota; Metazoa; Chordata; Mammalia; Rodentia; Sciuridae
Source: RNAcentral